AGGAAGGAGAAGUCGUAACAAGGUUUCCGUAGGUGAACCUGCGGAAGGAUCAUUGUCGAAACCUGCAACAGCAGAACGACCCGUGAACACGUUUUAAACAGCUUGGGCGGGCGAGAGGAGCUUGCUCCUUGGACCCGCCCGCACCUGCUGGGAGAAAUCUCGGCGGGCUAACGAACCCCGGCGCAAUCUGCGCCAAGGAACAAUAAAAGAUUAUCGCGUGGCUCGUGCGGUGGCCCGGAGACGGUGUCCGCCAAUCGAGAUGCGUGUUUAUCGAAAUGUCUAAACGACUCUCGGCAACGGAUAUCUCGGCUCUCGCAUCGAUGAAGAACGUAGCGAAAUGCGAUACUUGGUGUGAAUUGCAGAAUCCCGUGAACCAUCGAGUCUUUGAACGCAAGUUGCGCCCGAAGCCACUAGGCCGAGGGCACGUCUGCCUGGGCGUCACACGCCGUUGCCCCCAUGUGCACUGCCAAAAGCGUGUUCAGGAGGGGCGGAGACUGGCUUCCCAUGAGCAUUGCCUUGUGGUUGGCCUAAAUUCGAGUCGUCGGCCGCAAUCGCCUCGACAUUCGGUGGUUUUCGAUUAUAUCGGUGCCCCGUCGUGCGCGAAUCCGUGACCGACUAGACCCGUACGACCCCAAUGUGCUGCGAACGCAGUGCCUUCAACGCGACCCCAGGUCAGGCGGGAUC
This 684-nucleotide ribosomal RNA is filed under the name Cannabis sativa. RNAcentral's name for it is "eukaryotic LSU rRNA". The stretch from base 286 to 441 matches the Rfam family "5.8S ribosomal RNA". Lineage: Eukaryota; Viridiplantae; Streptophyta; Magnoliopsida; Rosales; Cannabaceae. The record is from RNAcentral.